Molecule: long non-coding RNA, 2336 nt
Organism: Physeter macrocephalus (sperm whale)
Lineage: Eukaryota; Metazoa; Chordata; Mammalia; Artiodactyla; Physeteridae
Exons: 6
Source: RefSeq, a predicted model, not a curated record
CUAUCCACCCACCCUCGUGCUCUGGGUUGCUCAGAAAUUCCAAGUUUCCUGCUGCCUCACUGGCUGGAACAGAAUGGAAUGCACCACUGCUGAUAACAACAGAAGAGGCCCCAAACCACAGAGGCAGGCAGCCCCGGGGGCAAAUCCUUGUUACACCGCUUCACACUGAAAGAUAUUGUACAAGUUACUCAGCUUUCCUCAUAGUACGCGGGCCUCUCACUGUUGUGGCCUCUCCCGUUGCGGAGCACAGGCUCCAGACGCGCAGGCUCAGCCGCCAUGGCUCACGGGCCCAGCCGCUCCGUGGUAUGUGGGAUCUUCCCGGACCGGGGCACGAACCCGUGUCCCCUGCAUCGACAGGCGGACUCUCAACCACUGCGCCACCAGGGAAGCCCCAGGAUUCUUGUAAAGUAGAAUUACUCUUCUCAUCAAACAUUCUGUACCACUCUAUGAUCCAAGGAAAUGCCCAGAUUCUUCUAGAAUGGGCCCACUAGUGAUGCCUGGAUUGAAUUAAAGCAGCUGAUUCUCAAGCCAAGUGGCCGGAAUUUGGACAACUCUACUGGCUCAUCCUCUGUGCUGUAUGGAAGAAGCCAAGAUAAUGACACUUUCCCAAGGCUGCGGCUGGGCUACAAAACAAUAAGGGAACUGGUAAAAGAGCCUCUGGAAGUAUCCAAACGUCAAUAAAUUAGUGGUGGAGCCAGGAUGAUCGAUAUGCCAGGGCGGCUGAACUGUCAGCUCAUCAGGAAUUGCCCAGAUUGUGGACCAUUCAUUAUAUCACCAGACAUCUAUUGAGUAUCUAAAAUUUGCCAGCUGUUGGAUUGGAAGAGGUGAUCUUUCCUGUGUGUGAUGUAAAUUCAUUGCAGGAUGUACAUAGCAGAAAAACACUACCACUACAAGAGUCCACUCCAAUGGACUGUAAACUCCAAUGUGGCAAAAAGGAGAUGAAGGCAUAGAUGAUGUCCAAAAGGCCCUUACUAUAAAUGAUUUCCUGGAAACACCGUGGUCAAGUCAAAAUCUUUUUGUGAGUGAGAAGAAAAUUACAAGACUGAGCAGAUUCAAGAGUGAAACUCAUCUGUGUCAGUGUGUGUUGGCCCAAGUAGGACACACAUGCAAACAUACUGCCCUUUUACUAACAAAUCAUUGUUUCAGAUGCAAAAUAAACAGCUGAAGGAUUUCUCAAAUGUUUUUCCUAAAUAAGAUAGGAAAUAGCCUGCUCAUACAAAAUACUCUAAUCCAGUCCUAAUCUAGCACACAUUACUAGUAUUAUUUACAAUUAAUGUGCCAUGUACUGUGAAUUAUUUAACCACGAUUUUAUUUUAAAAGUUCUGUACAUCAGAAAGUCAAGUUCAUAAAGAUUAAAGGAUUUACCCCAAAUCAAAUAGCUAGUAAAUAACCGGUCCAGGAGGCAAACUAAAGCUGCCUGACUUUAAAUCUGGAGUUCUAAGACUACCACAUGCUGAUGCCUCUCCCGUGUGAAAAGGACAGAAACUAUAUUGAAUGAAUAAAUGAAUCAACUUAUAGUAUGGAUCUUAAUAAAUGUUAAUUGACUGGGAACCACAAUUCCCUCACCAAAUUUGAUUCUCCACACCAAAUGAGAUAGUAAACUACAUGUAAUGAACUUACUGGACAAACUACAUUUCCUAGUGUUUGAGACCAGCUGAGGUCUCUUGGGGACAGCCAUGAGAGUGGGGGGUAAACCCCUGGAGGCAAUGCACUCUCAGCAUUGCCUCUGAGUUAUCAUCACAGCAUCAAGCCAGGGAGCCCUCCUUCCCAAUCACUGCUGUCCAGCACUCAGCUGAAACCAAGACACCAGGAUUUGGUACAGCACUGCUGCUUGGGACGUCUUGACUCUAUAUCUCUGGACCCAUUUACUUAACUUAAAAAUGAGAAGAUUGGUUCAAAGAUGGCAGAAUAGGGGUUUUCUGAGGUUCUUUGCCUUUUCCUGACUCCCAAUAUAAACAACAAAGAAACAGAGAUAUUCAUACUAAGCGAAGUAAGUCAGGCAGAGAAAGACAAAUAUCAUAUGAUGUCACUCAUAUGUGGAAUCUAAUUAAAAAAAUGAUACAAAUGAACUUAUUCACAAAACAGAAAGACUUACAGAUAUUGAAAACAAACUUAUAGUUACCAUAGGGGAAACGUUGGGGGCAGGGAUAAAUCAGGAGCUUGGGAUUAAUGUAUACGCACUAUUAUAUAUAAGAUAGAUAACCAAAAAAGACCUACUGUAUAGCACAGGAAACUCAAUAUUCUGUGAUAACCUGUAUGAGAAAAGAAUCUGAAAAAGAAUGAAUAUAUGUAUAUGUAUAACUGAAUCACUUUGCUGUACACCUGAAACUAACAAA